UCCUCUCUUGUAUUUUUCACUUUUGAGCAUAAUGAGAAUUAGAUUUUUGAAAUCAGAACUAAUUCUCUCUUGAAAGUCAGGCUAGAGAGUCCAAGGACUUCCUCUAGCCACCUUUCAAUCGCACUACCUUCAUUUUUCAUUCUUCCAUUUUUAUCCAUGGUGCUUCUUUCUCCUCCUCCAUGCUAAGCCACGCAUCUUUAGCCACGUCUUCCUCCUAUGCGCGCACAUCAACGCCUCAGUGGCCACAUCUUCAAUGGCACACGUUCACAUAUCCUCAGCCACGCCACAUCUUCAUUUGGCGUUU
Molecule: long non-coding RNA, 304 nt
Filed under: Vigna radiata
Lineage: Eukaryota; Viridiplantae; Streptophyta; Magnoliopsida; Fabales; Fabaceae
Description: long non-coding RNA (VRAD_LNC006947)
Source: RNAcentral